RNAcentral lists this transfer RNA (51 nucleotides) under Sorex daphaenodon (large-toothed Siberian shrew). Its description in RNAcentral is "tRNA-Thr". The record is from RNAcentral. Lineage: Eukaryota; Metazoa; Chordata; Mammalia; Eulipotyphla; Soricidae.
GUUAUGGCGAUUCGACUUAUCCAGAGAAGGAGACUCACAUCCCCCAAGACA